GAUGAACGCUGGCGGCGUGCCUAAUACAUGCAAGUCGAGCGAACAGACGAGGAGCUUGCUCCACUGACGUUAGCGGCGGACGGGUGAGUAACACGUGGAUAACCUACCUAUAAGACUGGGAUAACUUCGGGAAACCGGAGCUAAUACCGGAUAAUAUAUUGAACCGCAUGGUUCAAUAGUGAAAGACGGUUUUGCUGUCACUUAUAGAUGGAUCCGCGCCGCAUUAGCUAGUUGGUAAGGUAACGGCUUACCAAGGCAACGAUGCGUAGCCGACCCGAGCGGGUGAUCGGCCACACGGGAACUGAGACACGGUCCAGACUCCUACGGGAGGCAGCAGUAGGGAAUCUUCCGCAAUGGGCGAAAGCUUGACGGAGCAACGCCGCGUGAGUGAUGAAGGUCUUCGGAUCGUAAAACGCUGUUAUUAGGGAAGAACAAAUGUGUAAGUAACUAUGCACGUCUUGACGGUACCUAAUCAGAAAGCCACGGCUAACUACGUG
RNAcentral lists this ribosomal RNA (497 nucleotides) under uncultured bacterium. RNAcentral's name for it is "partial 16S ribosomal RNA". It matches the Rfam family "Bacterial small subunit ribosomal RNA", at positions 28 to 507 of the family's 1533-position model. The record is from RNAcentral.